RNAcentral lists this ribosomal RNA (253 nucleotides) under uncultured bacterium. RNAcentral's name for it is "partial 16S ribosomal RNA". It matches the Rfam family "Bacterial small subunit ribosomal RNA", at positions 524 to 776 of the family's 1533-position model. The record is from RNAcentral.
GACGAAGGAUGCAAGCGUUAUCCGGAUUCAUUGGGUUUAAAGGGAGCGUAGGUGGCCUUAUAAGUCAGUGGUGAAAUCUCUUCGCUUAACGAAGAAAUUGCCAUUGAUACUGUAGGGCUUGAGUAUAGUUGCCGUUGGCGGAAUAUGACAUGUAGUGGUGAAAUACAUAGAGAUGUCAUAGAACACCGAUUGCGAAGGCAGCUGACGAAACUAUAACUGACACUGAGGCUCGAAAGUGCGGGGAUCAAACAGG